This 507-nucleotide ribosomal RNA is filed under the name uncultured bacterium. RNAcentral describes it as "bacterial SSU rRNA". It matches the Rfam family "Bacterial small subunit ribosomal RNA", at positions 10 to 507 of the family's 1533-position model. The record is from RNAcentral.
AGUUUGAUCCUGGCUCAGAUUGAACGCUGGCGGCAGGCCUAACACAUGCAAGUCGAACGGUAACAGGAAGAAGCUUGCUUCUUUGCUGACGAGUGGCGGACGGGUGAGUAAUGUCUGGGAAACUGCCUGAUGGAGGGGGAUAACUACUGGAAACGGUAGCUAAUACCGCAUAACGUCGCAAGACCAAAAAGGGGGACCUUCGGGCCUCUUGCCAUCGGAUGUGCCCAGAUGGGAUUAGCUAGUAGGUGGGGUAACGGCUCACCUAGGCGACGAUCCCUAGCUGGUCUGAGAGGAUGACCAGCCACACUGGAACUGAGACACGGUCCAGACUCCUACGGGAGGCAGCAGUGGGAAUAUUGCACAAUGGGCGCAAGCCUGAUGCAGCCAUGCCGCGUGUAUGAAGAAGGCCUUCAGGUUGUAAAGUACUUUCAGCGGGGAGGAAGGGAGUAAAGUUAAUACCUUUGCUCAUUGACGUUACCCGCAGAAGAAGCACCGGCUAACUCCGUG